Molecule: ribosomal RNA, 530 nt
Filed under: Tactostoma macropus (longfin dragonfish)
Lineage: Eukaryota; Metazoa; Chordata; Actinopteri; Stomiiformes; Stomiidae
Description: partial 16S ribosomal RNA
Rfam family: Bacterial large subunit ribosomal RNA
Source: RNAcentral
GGCCGCGGUACUCUGACCGUGCGAAGGUAGCGAAAUCACUUGUCUCUUAAAUGGAGACCUGUAUGAAUGGCACGACGAGGGCUUAGCUGUCUCCUUUUCCUAGUCAAUGAAAUUGAUCUCCCCGUGCAGAAGCGGGGUUGCCACCAUAAGACGAGAAGACCCUAUGGAGCUUUAGACACCAGGCAGCCCAUACCAAACGAACCUGCUUUACCAGAAAGAACCCUAUGGCCCCUCGCCUACUUGUCUUUGGUUGGGGCGACCGCGGAGGAAAAAAUAGCCUCCAUGAAGACUGAGAGCACCGCUCUCACAAGCAAGACCCACCGCUCUAAACAACAGAACUUCUGACCAAGUGACCCGGCCUGCGCCGAUUAACGGACCCAGUUACCCUAGGGAUAACAGCGCAAUCCUCUCUCAGAGUCCCUAUCGACGAGCGGGUUUACGACCUCGAUGUUGGAUCAGGACAUCCUAAUGGUGCAGCCGCUAUUAAGGGUUCGUUUGUUCAACGAUUAACAGUCCUACGUGAUCUGAGU